GCCUUGAUGGGUUAUGGAUGUGGACUGGUGUUGGGAUUAUCCAUUGGAUAUAUUGUAUUCACAACAAGAAAACCGCAAUGGUUUGUAAGGAAGAUUGAAAGAGUAAGUCUGAGAAACAUGAGGAGAGUUGAAAAAAGGCCUCCAAGAAGAAGAAAUUAGAGAAUUCCACCUCCUUUCUCCAACAAAAGAAAUGAUUGGACUUGACGAAGGAAUAUCCACAGCAAAUUUGGUGCAUGAGACAUGAUAUUUUAAUGAUUGCAUUUCACUAUUUUGUUAUUAUGUAACUUAUGUUAUUUGAAAUGAUGAAUUUUAUUUAUAAUUUUCAGAUUGGGAAUAGUAGUUGUAGAAGAUGUGAUUUUUUUAAGCAAACUGCAGGGUGUAUGUGUGAAUUUUGUGAACUACCAGGGGUGUACUGUAAUUUUUUCAGGGUAUAUUUGUCAUUUUUAAAUUAAUAGGUGUAAUUUAAUUCUCCUACGUACCGGGGACCAGAACGGAACCUGCAUUUCAAGUUCCAGUUCCAGGAACCGACCGAUUCUGAUUCCCAUUCCCAGCAAUUUCGGUAGGUAUCUGAAACUGCUCACCCUCUUUUUUAUAUUAUAUUCACAACAGGAAAACUACUAUGGUUUGUAAUGAUGGUUGAAAGAAUAAGGUUUAGAAACAUGAGAAGAGUGAACAGAAAUCAUCCAAGAAGAAGACAUUUGAGAGUUAAAGCUAGUGCUGCUCUCUAUAAGAGCAAGGAGGAUAGCCGGUUGUGUCUACAUGGUCUAGUUAUCAUCUUCAAGCCAUCGAUUUUCUUCCAUUCUCUGUGGACAAGUAAUUCGUAUGUUAUUUUUGGGUUGUGAAGUAAUUCAAGUAGAUGGUAAGCUAAUAUAUUUUUCACACGCUUUAGAU
Long non-coding RNA from Pistacia vera, 891 nucleotides. RefSeq lists it as uncharacterized. Lineage: Eukaryota; Viridiplantae; Streptophyta; Magnoliopsida; Sapindales; Anacardiaceae. The transcript has 4 exons. The record is from RefSeq and is a predicted model, not a curated record.